GCGGCGACAUGGUGAGUGUGGGUCUCUGUGCGGCCUAGAUCUCUAUCUACCUGCAUCUGUCCUUGUUUUCUUCUCCCGCACCCGUCUCCUCUCCUGCCUUGCCCCGUGUUCUCUCCUGUCUCCAUGCCUUUGCAGGAGACACCAUUGUCGGAAGCUCCCCAAGGCAGAGGGGCGGGGGCGCCUUGGCUGGGCCUGGCGCGCUCCAGCCGGGUUAACGCCGGGCCUUCGGAGCGCGCGGCCAGCCCUGGGCACUGGUUUCGUUGGGUUGAAUUUAGGGAAAACUAGGUCAUAUGUAAUUCACAUGUCGGUCACACGUCAGUGAGGUGGAGGAACGGUGUGUGGAGGCUCCGGGGCCUGCCUGGGUUCCAGGUCUAACUAUCACUGGUUUCUCCCUUCACUCUAAACAGGCCAAACGUACCAAGAAAGUCGGGAUCGUCGGUAAAUACGGGACCCGCUAUGGGGCCUCCCUCCGGAAAAUGGUGAAGAAAAUUGAAAUCAGCCAGCACGCCAAGUACACUUGCUCUUUCUGUGGCAAAACCAAGAUGAAGAGACGAGCUGUGGGGAUCUGGCACUGUGGUUCCUGCAUGAAGACAGUGGCUGGCGGUGCCUGGACGUACAAUACCACUUCCGCUGUCACGGUAAAGUCCGCCAUCAGAAGACUGAAGGAGUUGAAAGACCAGUAGACGCUCCUCUACUCUUUGAGACAUCACUGGCCUAUAAUAAAUGGGUUAAUUUAUGUAACAAAA
This 746-nucleotide small RNA is filed under the name Pan troglodytes (chimpanzee). RNAcentral's name for it is "retained intron". The record is from RNAcentral. Lineage: Eukaryota; Metazoa; Chordata; Mammalia; Primates; Hominidae.